RNAcentral lists this transfer RNA (74 nucleotides) under Candidatus Aenigmatarchaeota archaeon. RNAcentral describes it as "tRNA-Arg". It matches the Rfam family "tRNA". From Rfam's summary of the family: Transfer RNA (tRNA) molecules are approximately 80 nucleotides in length. Lineage: Archaea; Nanobdellati; Candidatus Aenigmatarchaeota. The record is from RNAcentral.
GCCCCUAUAGUUCAAUUUGGAUAGAAUAACUCCCUGCGGAGGAGUUGAUUUGGGUUCGAAUCCCAAUGGGGGCA